UACGUAGGGUGCGAGCGUUGUCCGGAAUUAUUGGGCGUAAAGAGCUUGUAGGCGGUCUGUCGCGUCUGCUGUGAAAAUCCGGGGCUCAACCCCGGACUUGCAGUGGGUACGGGCAGACUAGAGUGUGGUAGGGGAGACUGGAAUUCCUGGUGUAGCGGUGAAAUGCGCAGAUAUCAGGAGGAACACCGAUGGCGAAGGCAGGUCUCUGGGCCGGUACUGACGCUGAGGUGCGAAAGCGUGGGGAGCGAACAGG
Molecule: ribosomal RNA, 253 nt
Filed under: uncultured bacterium
Lineage: Bacteria
Description: partial 16S ribosomal RNA
Rfam family: Bacterial small subunit ribosomal RNA
Source: RNAcentral